AGUGGCGGACGGGUGAGUAACGCGUAAGAAUCUAACUUCAGGACGGGGACAACAGUUGGAAACGACUGCUAAUACCCGAUAUGCCGCGAGGUGAAACCUAAUUGGCCUGAAGAAGAGCUUGCGUCUGAUUAGCUAGUUGGUGGGGUAAGGCCUACCAAGGCGACGAUCAGUAGCUGGUCUGAGAGGAUGAGCAGCCACACCGGGACUGAGACACGGCCCAGACUCCUACGGGAGGCAGCAGUGGGGAAUUUUCCGCAAUGGGCGAAAGCCUGACGGAGCAACGCCGCGUGAGGGAGGAAGGUCUUUGGAUUGUAAACCUCUUUUCUCAAGGAAGAAGUUCUGACGGUACUUGAGGAAUCAGCCUCGGCUAACUCCGUGCCAGCAGCCGCGGUAAUACGGGGGAGGCAAGCGUUAUCCGGAAUUAUUGGGCGUAAAGCGUCCGCAGGUGGUCAGCCAAGUCUGCCGUCAAAUCAGGUUGCUUAACGACCUAAAGGCGGUGGAAACUGGCAGACUAGAGAGCAGUAGGGGUAGCAGGAAUUCCCAGUGUAGCGGUGAAAUGCGUAGAGAUUGGGAAGAACAUCGGUGGCGAAAGCGUGCUACUGGGCUGUAUCUGACACUCAGGGACGAAAGCUAGGGGAGCGAAAGGGAUUAGAUACCCCUGUAGUCCUAGCCGUAAACGAUGGAUACUAGGCGUGGCUUG
RNAcentral lists this ribosomal RNA (700 nucleotides) under uncultured bacterium. RNAcentral describes it as "bacterial SSU rRNA". It matches the Rfam family "Bacterial small subunit ribosomal RNA", at positions 94 to 829 of the family's 1533-position model. The record is from RNAcentral.